Molecule: ribosomal RNA, 252 nt
Filed under: uncultured bacterium
Lineage: Bacteria
Description: partial 16S ribosomal RNA
Rfam family: Bacterial small subunit ribosomal RNA
Source: RNAcentral
UACGUAGGUCCCGAGCGUUGUCCGGAUUUAUUGGGCGUAAAGCGAGCGCAGGUGGUUUAUUAAGUCUGGUGUAAAAGGCAGUGGCUCAACCAUUGUAUGCAUUGGAAACUGGUAGACUUGAGUGUAGGAGAGGAGAGUGGAAUUCCAUGUGUAGCGGUGAAAUGCGUAGAUAUAUGAAGGAACACCGGUGGCGAAAGCGGCUCUCUGGCCUGUAACUGACACUGAGGCUCGAAAGCGUGGGGAGCAAACAGG